This 170-nucleotide ribosomal RNA is filed under the name uncultured bacterium. RNAcentral describes it as "partial 16S ribosomal RNA". It matches the Rfam family "Bacterial small subunit ribosomal RNA", at positions 338 to 524 of the family's 1533-position model. The record is from RNAcentral.
CCUACGGGAGGCAGCAGUCGGGAAUUUUGGGCAAUGGGCGAAAGCCUGACCCAGCAACGCCGCGUGAAGGGAGAAGUCUUUCGGGAUGUAAACUUCGAAAGAAUGGGAAGAAAAAAAUGACGGUACCAUUUAUAAGCCCCGGCUAACUCCGUGCCAGCAGCCGCGGUAAU